Molecule: ribosomal RNA, 251 nt
Filed under: uncultured prokaryote
Description: partial 16S rRNA
Rfam family: Bacterial small subunit ribosomal RNA
Source: RNAcentral
ACGUAGGGGGCAAGCGUUGUCCGGAAUCACUGGGCGUAAAGAGCACGUAGGCGGUCUAUUAAGUUAGAUGUGAAAGUUUGCAGCUUAACUGUAAAAGUGCAUCUAAUACUGGCAGACUUGAGUCUCGGAGAGGUAAGCGGAAUUCCUAGUGUAGCGGUGAAAUGCUUAGAGAUGAGGAAGAACACCGGUGGCGAAGGCGGCUUACUGGAUGAGUACUGACGCUCAGGUGCGAAAGCGUGGGGAGCAAACAG